CUUCGUCACCGUCUCU
This 16-nucleotide small RNA is filed under the name Arabidopsis thaliana (thale cress). RNAcentral's name for it is "ATSL025320". The record is from RNAcentral. Lineage: Eukaryota; Viridiplantae; Streptophyta; Magnoliopsida; Brassicales; Brassicaceae.